UACCUAUAAGACUGGGAUAACUUCGGGAAACCGGAGCUAAUACCGGAUAAUAUUUUGAACCGCAUGGUUCAAAAGUGAAAGACGGUCUUGCUGUCACUUAUAGAUGGAUCCGCGCUGCAUUAGCUAGUUGGUAAGGUAACGGCUUACCAAGGCAACGAUGCAUAGCCGACCUGAGAGGGUGAUCGGCCACACUGGAACUGAGACACGGUCCAGACUCCUACGGGAGGCAGCAGUAGGGAAUCUUCCGCAAUGGGCGAAAGCCUGACGGAGCAACGCCGCGUGAGUGAUGAAGGUCUUCGGAUCGUAAAACUCUGUUAUUAGGGAAGAACAUAUGUGUAAGUAACUGUGCACAUCUUGACGGUACCUAAUCAGAAAGCCACGGCUAACUACGUGCCAGCAGCCGCGGUAAUACGUAGGUGGCAAGCGUUAUCCGGAAUUAUUGGGCGUAAAGCGCGCGUAGGCGGUUUUUUAAGUCUGAUGUGAAAGCCCACGGCUCAACCGUGGAGGGUCAUUGGAAACUGGAAAACUUGAGUGCAGAAGAGGAAAGUGGAAUUCCAUGUGUAGCGGUGAAAUGCGCAGAGAUAUGGAGGAACACCAGUGGCGAAGGCGACUUUCUGGUCUGUAACUGACGCUGAUGUGCGAAAGCGUGGGGAUCAAACAGGAUUAGAUACCCUGGUAGUCCACGCCGUAAACGAUGAGUGCUAAGUGUUAGGGGGUUUCCGCCCCUUAGUGCUGCAGCUAACGCAUUAAGCACUCCGCCUGGGGAGUACGACCGCAAGGUUGAAACUCAAAGGAAUUGACGGGGACCCGCACAAGCGGUGGAGCAUGUGGUUUAAUUCGAAGCAACGCGAAGAACCUUACCAAAUCUUGACAUCCUUUGACAACUCUAGAGAUAGAGCCUUCCCCUUCGGGGGACAAAGUGACAGGUGGUGCAUGGUUGUCGUCAGCUCGUGUCGUGAGAUGUUGGGUUAAGUCCCGCAACGAGCGCAACCCUUAAGCUUAGUUGCCAUCAUUAAGUUGGGCACUCUAAGUUGACUGCCGGUGACAAACCGGAGGAAGGUGGGGAUGACGUCAAAUCAUCAUGCCCCUUAUGAUUUGGGCUACACACGUGCUACAAUGGACAAUACAAAGGGCAGCGAAACCGCGAGGUCAAGCAAAUCCCAUAAAGUUGUUCUCAGUUCGGAUUGUAGUCUGCAACUCGACUACAUGAAGCUGGAAUCGCUAGUAAUCGUAGAUCAGCAUGCUACGGUGAAUACGUUCCCGGGUCUUGUACACACCGCCCGUCACACCACGAGAGUUUGUAACACCCGAAGCCGGUGGAGUAACCUUUUAGGAGCUAGCCGUCGAAGGUGGGACAAAUGAUUGGGGUGAAGUCGUAACAAGGUAGCCGUAUCGGAAGGUGCGGCUG
This 1408-nucleotide ribosomal RNA is filed under the name Staphylococcus aureus. RNAcentral's name for it is "bacterial SSU rRNA". It matches the Rfam family "Bacterial small subunit ribosomal RNA". Lineage: Bacteria; Bacillati; Bacillota; Bacilli; Caryophanales; Staphylococcaceae. The record is from RNAcentral.